AACGCUAGCUACAGGCUUAACACAUGCAAGUCGAGGGGUAACGAUAUUGGAAGCUUGCUUCCGAUAGGCGUCGACCGGCGCACGGGUGAGUAACGCGUAUCCAACCUGCCCACCACUUGGGGAUAACCUUGCGAAAGUAAGACUAAUACCCAAUGAUAUCUCUAGAAGACAUCUGAAAGAGAUUAAAGAUUUAUCGGUGAUGGAUGGGGAUGCGUCUGAUUAGCUUGUUGGCGGGGUAACGGCCCACCAAGGCGACGAUCAGUAGGGGUUCUGAGAGGAAGGUCCCCCACAUUGGAACUGAGACACGGUCCAAACUCCUACGGGAGGCAGCAGUGAGGAAUAUUGGUCAAUGGGCGAGAGCCUGAACCAGCCAAGUAGCGUGUAGGAUGACGGCCCUAUGGGUUGUAAACUGCUUUUAUAAGGGAAUAAAGUGAGUCUCGUGAGACUUUUUGCAUGUACCUUAUGAAUAAGGACCGGCUAAUUCCGUGCCAGCAGCCGCGGUAAUACGGAAGGUCCGGGCGUUAUCCGGAUUUAUUGGGUUUAAAGGGAGCGUAGGCCGGAGAUUAAGCGUGUUGUGAAAUGUAGACGCUCAACGUCUGCACUGCAGCGCGAACUGGUUUCCUUGAGUACGCACAAAGUGGGCGGAAUUCGUGGUGUAGCGGUGAAAUGCUUAGAUAUCACGAAGAACUCCGAUUG
RNAcentral lists this ribosomal RNA (696 nucleotides) under uncultured bacterium. RNAcentral describes it as "bacterial SSU rRNA". It matches the Rfam family "Bacterial small subunit ribosomal RNA", at positions 32 to 715 of the family's 1533-position model. The record is from RNAcentral.